Molecule: long non-coding RNA, 552 nt
Filed under: Mus spicilegus (steppe mouse)
Lineage: Eukaryota; Metazoa; Chordata; Mammalia; Rodentia; Muridae
Description: lncRNA (ENSMSIG00000004199.1)
Source: RNAcentral
CAGACAUCAAUAACACUGCCAGAGCAGCGUCUUUGUCCUUCACAGCCAGAGGGAGCACAGAUCCUGACAUCCUUGGUUUCUGGCAAUAUAAAAAUCCACAAACAUCCACUCGGUCUCCAACAUCACAUACCAACCACCUCUGCCUGGUCUCCUGUGACAGUAUGGCCCAUGGACAUCUUCAUGGUCCUCUGCCAACACAUGAGCCACUGACCAACAUGGCCUCAGGGAGAAGCACAGACGGAUCAUGGAGGUCUUCCGAAGAGGUCCAAUCCAGUAAAUGGUCUAUUCUUCAUCUUGAACAUGACAUUGAUCUCACGAAAGCGCAGGUCAACCACAUAGAAGCAAAGGAGAAGAAUCAACCCGGUAGAAGUGGAAGAAAGAGAAACACGCCUUUCUUCAUAAAGGAUAUACCACGUAUGGAUGUUGAUGAGGUUCCGAAAUCACUCAGUCCUAGAGGUUGUGAGCCAAGACUACUCCAAGAGAGUCCUGGACAAUUUUUUUGUUUUUGAAGAGUGAUAAUAAAAGCGCAUUUUCAUGCUGAAAGUAUAACCA